RNAcentral lists this ribosomal RNA (243 nucleotides) under uncultured bacterium. RNAcentral's name for it is "partial 16S ribosomal RNA". It matches the Rfam family "Bacterial small subunit ribosomal RNA", at positions 796 to 1041 of the family's 1533-position model. The record is from RNAcentral.
CACGCUGUAAACGUUGUAUACUAGGUGUUAGCGGCUAGUCUGCUAGUGCCGAAGCAAACGCAUUAAGUAUACCGCCUGGGGAGUACGCCCGCAAGGGUGAAACUCAAAGAAAUUGACGGGGGCCCGCACAAGCGGUGGAGCAUGUGGUUUAAUUCGAUGAUACGCGAAAAACCUUACCUGGGCUUGAACUGUGCAUGACUGGUGUAGAGAUACACCUUUCCUUCGGGACAUGUACAGAGGUGC